GACAAUUGCAUUAGCUUCAAAUAAACCCAUGCUAUAUAUGAUACAUUUUGAUUUUUUUUUUGUGAGACUCGUCUCAUGAGGAUCUGUUUCAUAAUAUUGAUAAUUCGGGAAACAAGGAUCGGAAAACCCCCAAUUUAUACAAUCGUUAGAUGAGAAAGCGGCAAUGAUAUAUGAACAGGUGGAUUUUUUCAACUAGCAAGGGAAUGAUGAUGGUUGAAAUAGAUCUUAACAAAUCAACAAAAGCCUAUAGCAAAUAUAAUAUAAUAUCAGACAUAUAUAAUAGCCAGUUAAUUAUCAUUUCGAGGUCAAUUACUAAACAGCAAGAUUUGCAGGAUGAAUUUAAAAUACAAGUAGAUACGUGAAUUAGCAAAGGAUUAUGAUGGUUAAAUCACCUUAUAACAAAUAAAACAUAGUAUUACAUCAGAGUACUCUAAUUCCUAUAAGCAUUCACUCAGAUUGCCCAAUUCUCGUGUAUCCAAGAUUACCAAUU
Asparagus officinalis (garden asparagus) is the source of this 490-nucleotide long non-coding RNA. RefSeq lists it as uncharacterized. NCBI's taxonomy places the organism in Eukaryota, Viridiplantae, Streptophyta, Magnoliopsida, Asparagales, Asparagaceae. The transcript is spliced from 2 exons. The record is from RefSeq and is a predicted model, not a curated record.